AGUUAAUAAGCUGCAUUUAAGCGUAUGUUUUGAAAACAUAAAUCUAGAAGUUCAACCCUUCUAUUAACUU
This 70-nucleotide transfer RNA is filed under the name Ergatettix dorsifera. RNAcentral's name for it is "tRNA-Ser". It matches the Rfam family "tRNA". Rfam says of the family: Transfer RNA (tRNA) molecules are approximately 80 nucleotides in length. Their secondary structure includes four short double-helical elements and three loops (D, anti-codon, and T loops). Lineage: Eukaryota; Metazoa; Arthropoda; Insecta; Orthoptera; Tetrigidae. The record is from RNAcentral.